RNAcentral lists this transfer RNA (74 nucleotides) under Fibrobacter sp. Its description in RNAcentral is "tRNA-His". It matches the Rfam family "tRNA". Rfam says of the family: Transfer RNA (tRNA) molecules are approximately 80 nucleotides in length. Their secondary structure includes four short double-helical elements and three loops (D, anti-codon, and T loops). The record is from RNAcentral. Lineage: Bacteria; Pseudomonadati; Fibrobacterota; Fibrobacteria; Fibrobacterales; Fibrobacteraceae. RNAcentral also lists the same sequence under 1 other name.
GUGAGUGUGGCGCAAUUGGUUAGCGCACCAGAUUGUGAUUCUGGGGGUCGUGGGUUCAAGUCCCAUCACUCACC